UGGUACAAAGGAAACAGUUUAUUGUCCAGCAUCAGUGUGUCUGAUCUCAGCAUCAGUCUCUCUCUACCUCUGGAGGUGGAAUAUCAGGAUAAAAACACCUACAGCUGUGUGCUGAACAAUCCCAUAAGCAACCAGACGAGACACCUGAACAUCACUCAGCUCUGUCACACAUGUGCAGAUCAACGCCUACCUUUGUACAUAGUGCUGAUCUCUGCUGCUGCUGCUGGAUCUCUGUUGAUUGUACUCGUGAUCUGCUGCACCUGCAGGAGAUGUAGAAAAACAGUCGAGACCCGGGAGGAAGACAGAACUGAUUCAGUAUUGUGUAAACCAACAACACGACUAAAGAAAUCGAAGACAGAUGCUGUGUAUGAAAAUGUUCC
Long non-coding RNA from Megalobrama amblycephala (Wuchang bream), 380 nucleotides. RefSeq lists it as uncharacterized. Lineage: Eukaryota; Metazoa; Chordata; Actinopteri; Cypriniformes; Xenocyprididae. The transcript is spliced from 4 exons. The record is from RefSeq and is a predicted model, not a curated record.